Molecule: unclassified non-coding RNA, 297 nt
Filed under: Hevea brasiliensis (rubber tree)
Lineage: Eukaryota; Viridiplantae; Streptophyta; Magnoliopsida; Malpighiales; Euphorbiaceae
Source: RNAcentral
GAGAGAGAGAGAGAGUAUUUUGUCAAAAAGGUAGGCUGCGAUUGCAAUGAGUUUGAUACAAAUGUAAAAAGAGCGGCGACAUUGGAGACUUGGACAUUUAAUACUAGUAGGGGGGGACAAGGGGUAGGAAGAAGAAGAACAACUCAGUUCUCUUGGCAAUCCCUUGUGUUCUCUUUUCCAUUUUUUUUUUUGUCUUAUUAUAUCAACUCUCACACUAGGUGGACACCUCAUCCUUAAUUCAACUUCUGAUCAGAAUUUUUGUUAUACGAUAAGUUUAAUGUCUGCUUGUUUUCUGGG